GACGAACGCUGGCGGCGUGCUUAACACAUGCAAGUCGAACGGAAAGGCCCUGCUUUUGUGGGGUGCUCGAGUGGCGAACGGGUGAGUAACACGUGAGUAACCUGCCCUUGACUUUGGGAUAACUUCAGGAAACUGGGGCUAAUACCGGAUAGGAGCUCCUGCUGCAUGGUGGGGGUUGGAAAGUUUCGGCGGUUGGGGAUGGACUCGCGGCUUAUCAGCUUGUUGGUGGGGUAGUGGCUUACCAAGGCUUUGACGGGUAGCCGGCCUGAGAGGGUGACCGGCUGCGGCGGGAGCGAGGGCCCGCCCAGACGGGGGCGGGGGGCAGGGGUGCGGAAAUAGUCGGGAGGGGCGCAGGGGUGAGCCUGAAAGGGGGGUGGGGGGAUGCCUGGCUGCGGGUGUACACCCGGGUGGGGCUGUGACGGAGGGUGAGGGACGGUAAGGGGAGGAGAAGCACAGGCUAACUACGUGCAAGCACAGCGGUAAUAGUCGGAAGCGCUCACGUAUGAAC
This 508-nucleotide ribosomal RNA is filed under the name uncultured bacterium. RNAcentral describes it as "partial 16S ribosomal RNA". The stretch from base 21 to 328 matches the Rfam family "Bacterial small subunit ribosomal RNA", at positions 48 to 357 of the family's 1533-position model. The record is from RNAcentral.